This 521-nucleotide ribosomal RNA is filed under the name uncultured Glomeromycotina. RNAcentral's name for it is "SSU rRNA". It matches the Rfam family "Eukaryotic small subunit ribosomal RNA", at positions 569 to 1092 of the family's 1831-position model. RNAcentral also lists the same sequence under 1 other name. Lineage: Eukaryota; Fungi; Glomeromycota. The record is from RNAcentral.
AGCAGCCGCGGUAAUUCCAGCUCCAAUAGCGUAUAUUAAAGUUGCUGCAGUUAAAAAGCUCGUAGUUGAAUUUCGGGACCAAUAUGUCGGUCGUGCCUCGGUACGUACUGGCAUCGUUGGUUUCUCCUUUCUGAAGAACCAUGAUGUCAUUUAUUUGGUGUCGUGGGGAAUCAGGACUGUUACUUUGAAAAAAUUAGAGUGUUUAAAGCAGGCUCACGCUUGAAUACAUUAGCAUGGAAUAAUGAAAUAGGACGUUUGAUUCUAUUUUGUUGGUUUCUAGGAUCGACGUAAUGAUUAAUAGGGAUAGUUGGGGGCAUUAGUAUUCAAUUGUCAGAGGUGAAAUUCUUGGAUUUAUUGAAGACUAACUACUGCGAAAGCAUUUGCCAAGGAUGUUUUCAUUAAUCAAGAACGAAAGUUAGGGGAUCGAAGACGAUCAGAUACCGUCGUAGUCUUAACCAUAAACUAUGCCGACUAGGGAUCGGAUGAUGUUAAUUUUUUAAUGACUCAUUCGGCGCCUUACG